Molecule: long non-coding RNA, 257 nt
Filed under: Elaeis guineensis (African oil palm)
Lineage: Eukaryota; Viridiplantae; Streptophyta; Magnoliopsida; Arecales; Arecaceae
Description: long non-coding RNA (EGUI_LNC063292)
Source: RNAcentral
UAUCUAUGGAUAGGUUCUCAAUCAAUUAUUUUUUUAAAUAAUUUUUAGUAAUUAAUUUUACCUCACAUUUUAUUUCAGUAGGUGAUGGGCCUCCCCUGAAAGUUUCGAUUAGGUCAAACUAUUAAUAUGAACCUACUCAAUAUUUUUAACUAAUAAAUGAUCUAGUUCGAGGAUGGCUCGAUCAACCUAACCAUCAUCAGAUAGUAUAACAGAGUCAUCAUGUGAUGAAUGAUAAUCUAUCAUUCAGAGAGAACACC